GACGAACGCUGGCGGCGUGCUUAACACAUGCAAGUCGAACGGAAAGGCCCUGCUUGCAGGGUACUCGAGUGGCGAACGGGUGAGUAACAAGUGGGUGAUCUGCCCUGCACUUCGGGAUAAGCCUGGGAAACUGGGUCUAAUACCGGAUAGGAGACAUUUUUAGUGUGAUGGUUGGAAAGUUUUUUCGGUGUAGGAUGAGCUCGCGGCCUAUCGGCUUGUUGGUGGGGUAAUGGCCUACCAAGGCGGCGGCGGGUAGCCGGCCUGAGAGGGUGGACGGCCACAUUGGGACUUAGGUACGGCCCAGACUCCUACGGGAGGCAGAUGUGGGGAAUAUUGCACGAGGGGCGCAAGCCGGAUGCAGCGACGCCGCGUGUGGGAUGACGGCCUUCGGGUUGUAAACUCCUUUCGCUAGGGACGAAGCUUUUUGUGACGGUACCUAGAUAAGAAGCACCGGCUAACUACGUG
This 465-nucleotide ribosomal RNA is filed under the name uncultured bacterium. Its description in RNAcentral is "partial 16S ribosomal RNA". It matches the Rfam family "Bacterial small subunit ribosomal RNA", at positions 28 to 507 of the family's 1533-position model. The record is from RNAcentral.